Molecule: ribosomal RNA, 595 nt
Filed under: uncultured fungus
Lineage: Eukaryota; Fungi
Description: eukaryotic LSU rRNA
Rfam family: 5.8S ribosomal RNA (bases 194-347)
Source: RNAcentral
UCCGUAGGUGAACCUGCGGAAGGAUCAUUACAGAGAACAUGCCCCUCUAGGGUAUAUCUCCCACCCUUUGUCUACAAUACCUUUGUUGCUUUGGCAAGCCCGUCUCGAUGACUACUGGCUUCUAGCUAGCUUGCGCUUGCCAGAGGACCCCAAAAUUCUCUUUUAUGUUGACCGAGUACCACACAAUAAUUAAAACUUUCAACAACGGAUCUCUUGGUUCUGGCAUCGAUGAGGAACGCAGCGAAAUGCGAUAAGUAAUGCGAAUUGCAGAAUUCAGUGAAUCAUCGAAUCUUUGAACGCACAUUGCACCCCCUGGUAUUCCAGGGGGUAUGCCUGUUCGAGCGUCACUUCAACCCUCAAGCAAUGCUUGGUAUUGGAUGUCAUCACAUCUGGCGCAUCUCAAAAAGCAUCGGCGGUAGUGUUUAGCUUCUAGCAUAGUAAUUUUCUUGCUUUGGAGUCCUAAAAUGUCUGCCUGCAAGAACCCUAAUUUUAUCAGGUCGACCUCGGAUCAGGUAGGGAUACCCGCUGAAACUUAAGCAUAUCAAUAAGCGGAGGGAAGUCGGACUGGCCAAGGGGCACACCAGGGGGGGGGAUA